AUGGUGACUCAGCAGGCGGCUUGGGAAACAGGACCACGCAGGAGGCCCACAUCCGAGACAGCGAGCGAGCGAGUCAGGAGACGGGUACGUAGGCGUGGAUCGUGGAGGAUUCCGGGUUGUGGCCGGCUCCGUUUCCGGGUCGUUUCAAGGAGGCGAGGCGAAUCCAUCCCCGCAUCUUCCGGGUCAGACAGGGCUCGCCAGGCGAAGGUAAGACCGGUUUCGAGGCAAGCGGCGGCCACCGGCAGUAGUGAAGUGGCGAAACGCAAGGGCGGCUCGGUCAAGCGGAGGUGA
This 291-nucleotide ribosomal RNA is filed under the name Triticum aestivum (bread wheat). Its description in RNAcentral is "partial small subunit ribosomal RNA". Lineage: Eukaryota; Viridiplantae; Streptophyta; Magnoliopsida; Poales; Poaceae. The record is from RNAcentral.